GACAGAGGGUGCAAGCGUUGUUCGGAAUCAUUGGGCGUAAAGGGCGCGUAGGCGGCUCGUAAAGUUGAAUGUGAAAUCCCAGGGCUCAACCCUGGAAGUGCAUUCAAAACUGGCGAGCUUGAGUCCCGGAGAGGGUGGUGGAAUUCCCAGUGUAGAAGUGAAAUUCGUAGAUAUUGGGAGGAACACCAGUGGCGAAGGCGACCACCUGGACGGAGACUGACGCUGAGGCGCGAAAGCGUGGGGAGCAAACAGG
RNAcentral lists this unclassified non-coding RNA (253 nucleotides) under uncultured Myxococcales bacterium. RNAcentral describes it as "contains 16S-23S intergenic spacer region". It matches the Rfam family "Bacterial small subunit ribosomal RNA", at positions 524 to 776 of the family's 1533-position model. Lineage: Bacteria; Pseudomonadati; Myxococcota; Myxococcia; Myxococcales. The record is from RNAcentral.